This is a non-coding RNA of Xyrichtys novacula (pearly razorfish), 3872 nucleotides long. The record is from the annotation of a GenBank genome assembly. Lineage: Eukaryota; Metazoa; Chordata; Actinopteri; Labriformes; Labridae.
GAGAUUACCGCGAAAUGCCGCGAACAAAUACGAAGUUGAUUUUCAAGUUGAUUGUUGUGCUUUCCUGAAGAAGUGAGUAUUGUUAACUCAAUGUAUAUGUGAAAUGAGUGUGUGUUUUUAACAGAGUAUGUCUCCUGAUUAGCAUAAAGUUCGUUUAUAUUUACCAAAGUUAGCAUACUUGUUAUAUUGCGUUACUUAAGCUAACCAGCGAAGCUAAUAUUGUGUUUAUGUCUGUUAAAUAGUGUUUUAAGACAGAAGUCAUUCUCCAGUAAAAGCUGUGUGGCAGCCACAUCCCCCAGAAAACAGACACAUAAAGUAAUAAAUCUAAACAUGGUGCUUAUGUAAUUUUCUAAAUAAAUUAAAAAUGCAUACAGAAUUUUUUUGACUGAACUCGAAAUGAAAAUGUUAGCUUUAAUCUUGGCUUCACCCAUGAGUUGGCUGAUAAGAAAACCAUUGCUACAGAUUGUGGCUAGGACCCUAUAUGUACUGUUGAUGAAGUUAGGUGCUGUUCUGAGCAUUAUUUGUGGCUAUAGAGUGGUGUUUUGGUUUAGCGCGUGGCUCUCUGUAUUGCUAUCGUGUGGUUGUUACUGAAGUUGGUAUAACUAGAGAAGCAAGCAGUCAGCAACAUUUAUCUCUCGACGGGGUGUCUUAACUCGGCGUUACAGUGUGUUUGACCCUGAAUUAAUUUUACGUGGGAAUAUCCCUUUUAAAGGAGAACAAAUCUGGAUAAGGGGGAGAAAUUUUCAGUUUCAGCACAAACACUCAAGCUAGAAACCAAAGGCCCUUAGGGUCUUUGUAGUUAAAGGUUCAAAGGUGUUUUAAUCCUGUAUUUAGCACUGUUCUCAUAGAAAAAAAAUCAUCUUCCUGAGGUGCUACUGCAGCUUUCUCAAAUUUGUGUCAGAGUUUUUGUUCCAAACCUGACACAGUGUUUUAUUUUUUAUUUUCAUAACAGUCACCUGCAGGUGUUACAGUUUUCACAGACUGAACCUCUCAUUUUGCUGCAAAAGUUGUCAACUUUGUCAGCUUCUUUCAGUUCUCACAGUCUCCCUCGUCGGGAACAUCCAGCUUCACUCUGAGUCGAGAACCCGUGAGAGUGAAAUUCCUUAAAUCCGGAAACUUGUUAACAUCGUGCAGCGAGAAAACUCCCCUCAACUCUUCACCUCAGCCGACUCCUUUUUUUCUGUCUCAUGGCGGGAAAGGAGAGAAGCACAGUGUAGAGUUAUCAAAGCAGUUAUGUCUCACAGAAAGUAUGAAAAGGUUUGAUAAGCUUUCUUCUCAUUAAAACUCUUCAACCCUUUCUUCUUUUUUCACUGAUGGCUAAAUUAACUUAAAGCAGAGACCCGGCGGCUUUUAUUUGCCCGCUGACCUUCAUUAGCUGAAUAAAUGUCUGCACGGACUGAAGGUUCGACUGUAUAAAAUCAUAAAACCUGCAUCCAUGGACCAAAAGUACAUUUAUUUUUUAUUUUUGCAUAUUUUAAUUUGCACACUGACGCACUCGGAUGCAGCCAAGUUAAUUGAAAUCCAGCAAAUAAAUAGUUAAUAAUAUGAAAGUAUAUUCCUGCAUAUCUGUAAUGUGCUGCUUAGAAAACUUCAAAAGAUUUCAUGAAGGUUAUUUAUUUAAGUAAGUAAUUGAUAUUUUUGACGAAGACCAAUUUUCUAUAAGUUGUUACAAAAUAUUCCAAAGGUCAAUCAGUCAGAAACUCAGACUAGGUUUAAAAAAGUUGAGAAAUUUCUUUGAACACUCUGCCCUUUACAAACUCUGAGCUCAUUUCACCCCCGAGGAGCUCAGUAUGAAGAUAUUUAAUGAGGAGAAGACGAGUUAAAAGGUAACUGGAGACACAUCUUUAAAGGUGUAAUUGCAUUUUUUUAUGUAUUUCAAAUAAACACAUAAAGCUUUUGCUCUAAUGAACCAGACAUGAAGACAGAUUGGUAGCUCAGGGCGAUGCAUCCUCAAAGUUAUAGAGUCUGCACCUACCUCCACCAGUGUAGCAUCUCUUAACUCUGUUAUCCCAGAACCAACCCCACUCCAUGCUGGCUGUCAUCUGCCACCACACCUAAAUAUUAGAUUUUGCAUGUAAUAUUGAGCACUCCGCCUCUAUCCUGAGAGUCUCUGCCCUUCCACUUGCAAACAUAGAAUCCUAAGGCAGGGAGAGCAGCAGUAAAAACCACAGAGCAGAGAGGACAUCAGUGGCGGUUACUUAGUGUUGGACGGUAUGAACAAAAUCUUCUAUCACAGUAUGAGUAAUUUCAUAUCACGUUAAUGAUCUAUAUCACGGUGUGUUUUUCUCCUUGUAAAUUCAAUUAAUGGCUUAUAAAUAACCACACUGUCGCAUUUGUUCAUUUUCCUUUUAUUUUUAAACUCAGAUUUGUGUACAAAUGCAAACAAAAUGUCAGACCAGUCUGGCGAUUUUUUUAUCAUAUGGCGUACCUUUGGCGAAAGACUCUGCCAAGCUCUUUUGUAUGAGAGGAGCUGCUGCAGCUGCUGUAGCUCAGGAGGUAGAGCAGUCGUCCAACAACUGGAAGGUUGGUGGUUCAUUUCCCCCUAUCCCGAGUCUGUCUGGUGUGUCCUUGGGCAAGACACUUAACCCCCCUUGCUCCCAGUGUGUGUCCUCCACUGGUAUUUGAUUGUUAGUGUUGUGUGAUGGUGGUCGGAGAGGCCGUAGGCGCAAACUGCCAGCCACGGUUUCGUCAGUCUGCCCCAGGACAACUGUGACUACUGAGGUAGUGUACCACCACCAGGGUGUGACUGUGAGCGAAUGAAUGAUGUAUCCAAUGUAAAGCGCUUUGAGGGUCUCUGAUAAAGCGCUAUAUGAAAUCUGAUGCAUUAUUAUUAUUAUUGGCAAUGCAUCUGAUGCCAGUAAAAUCAGACAGAAGGUGCUGGAGCGGAGGGUUGAAGCAGAACAGGUAGGGUAGGCAGGUUACAGCAGUGUAACAAGUUGGAUGCAUUGAAGGUGACUGGCUGAGCUGUCAGCUAAUAUUGGCUGGCUCUAUGAUCAGAUAAUAUAUUGGGGGAUUAGUUUAGGACUAACACGAUGUUUCAAUAAAACAUACCUAACAGAAUUUAAUUAGAAAGAGUCUGUCUUGAAUUUGCUUCAUUUGAGUGCCUUUCUUAAUUUUCUCUCGUCUUUGCCUGUGUUCAUCCAGCCUCUGCCUUAUAUCUAAAGAAACCACAUUUAAAUACACCCUCAAGGACCUCAAGUUUUAUAAGUAAACAUUCAUCAAAAUUGCAAUUUAUGGGCAGCAAAUAAAUGCAAGCACAACACUGGUUAAUUUCGGGAUAUUCUAACACUGAAAACAUGAAAACUAACACAAACAUUAUCCUGCAAAAACACAUUUUUUCAAUGAAGUAGUCGCCCCCUCUGAAGCAGGAGGAACAAGAAUAUAUUAACUAAAGAUUUAAUGACAGAAGUUUAAUUCCAAUAUGACGCAUAAACAACACAGAGCAACGAAAGAGCCAAGACCAUCAGCACACUCUGAGUCAUUUGUAUUGAUCCAUAAACCUAUCAGAGGCUGCAGAUAAUAAUAUCAUGGCCAUCUUGAGCUAUAGUGCAAUAAAGAUCUUACAUUUACCUCUAACAGUUCACAGCAGACUGAUGGCGCUCCUGCUGACCAGAGGAGGGCGGCCUGAUGGGAGUUCAUGCCCCCCAUCAGCUCCUCAUUGGCCUCUGGGUGACUGCACGGAGCUGCAGGCAGGGAUGCAAAGAAAGAAAAAAAAAGGUAAUAAAUUGGUAAACAUCAUUUACUAUAUACACACACCUGCACAUGAAGUGCAUAUGAUCAAAUAACAUCCCAUAUGGCAUCAACAGGCGAUCACUGACAGACCUGUAAUUGAGCCCACGCUCACACAUGUAAUAUCACUCUAUAUAUCACAG